CCGAUGAUGACCCAAGUCUCAUCUCCAGGACCCUGUGGUGGAGGAAGAAAUUGGAGUCUUACAAGUUGUUCUCCGGCUUUCCCUGGCAGGCACACACAUGUGUGCUCACAGUAAAUUCAUGGAUGUUAAAAGAUUGUUUAAAAGAAAACAGAGAGCAGCUUAUAACUUUCUUAAAGCACAACUUUGCUCUUUUUAAUAGACAACUUGGAGAGGCUAGGGGAGGAGUCUGGUUUUUGUUUUUGUUUUUUAGUUUUAUUUACAUUCCAGAUGUUGCCCCCCUUUCCAGUUCCCCCUCCCCUUUGCCUCUGAGAAGGUGCUCCCCACACCUCAUCCACCACCACCCCCAUCCUCCUUCCCGUGGGCAUCAAGUCUCUCCAGGAUUAGGUCAUUCUCUCCCCCUGAGGCCCUGCAAAGUAGUCCCCCGCUACAUAUAUGCUGGGGUCCCUGGAUCAGCCCAGGUAUGCUCUUUGGUUGGUCUCUGGGAGCUCCAGUUGACACUGUUGUUCUUCCUAUGGGGUUGCCAUCCCUUCAGCUCCUUCAGUCCUUCCCCUAACUCUUCCACAGGGCUCCCUGACCUCAGUACAGUGUAAUAAGCAUCUGCCUUAGUCAGCUGCUGGUAGAGUCUGUGACAGCCAUGCUGGGCUGCAGAAGCCUACUUUAAGUCUCCUGGGUGUUUUAAUUAAGAUUUGUGCAUGCGUGUGUGUGUGUGUGUGUGUGUGUGUGUGUGUGUGUGUGUGUGUG
RNAcentral lists this long non-coding RNA (741 nucleotides) under Rattus norvegicus (Norway rat). RNAcentral describes it as "long non-coding RNA NONRATT006843". Lineage: Eukaryota; Metazoa; Chordata; Mammalia; Rodentia; Muridae. The record is from RNAcentral.